Mya arenaria is the source of this 1026-nucleotide long non-coding RNA. RefSeq lists it as uncharacterized. The record is from RefSeq and is a predicted model, not a curated record. The transcript has 4 exons. NCBI's taxonomy places the organism in Eukaryota, Metazoa, Mollusca, Bivalvia, Myida, Myidae.
GCCACAUCGCGAAUACCCGCGAUAACGACGCGAGAAACACAACAAACGUAUUCGGAAUCAACCACAGCCUAAGUCACAAUUACAAAAGGUGUCACGAUUACUACACGAGAAACACAACCAACUUAUUCGGAGUCUACCACAACACCAGUCAAAAGUACAAAAGAUGACACAGCAGCAACACCCUCGACAUCGACACGAGAGACAUAGCUGAAUACGUUUUCAACAUCAACUACAACAGAAUUCGAGAGUGCAAAAGGGGCAUGCUCUGGACGUGCUUUAAAAACGCUGUGAUAGAAAAGACUACCGCAGAGGUGUCCACUGCUGUGGCCAAUCAACAACGUGUUGAAUAUGUUAACACAACAAGUGAUGGCAUGCACAGAAAUACUGGAGACACAAGGGACGCUCAAACUUAUGAGAAACUAAACAUGACUUCGAGUUCGGACAACUAUCUUUCACUCCAAGAGAUUGAUACAGAUCGCCACUUUUAUCAAAACACAUGAAUGUAAAAAUAUCAUGCAUUUCAACUAGAUUUAUUUCUUUUGUUCUAUGUAUUAGCUAAAUUCAAUCAUAUUAUGUAUAUAUACAUUUAUAGAAUGUCACAAGAUAUAACGUUUUUGUUUUCAACAUAACAAUGCAUAUAGUUGUUUUUAUAUUACUCUUAUAUUAUGUAUUCCCUGGGUCAAUACAUGCACAUAAUUUAACCUUAUUCCUGUAGUUUUCAUUGCAUUAUCAAAUAAUUCUAAAAGUACCAAAUUAGUUUUACCGAUAAAUUGCAGAAGUCACGUGUGGCAAAUUAUAAUUUUCGGCGAUCUCGGAUAAAGUACCUCUCGAUCGUUAAUAUUAUUUAUAAGUCUUUAUUUAUUCUUAAAUAAAACUUGUGAACGUAUGAUAAGACACAAACUUACUGAACAUUUCUUUUACAACAUUACACUAAGGUAAGGUUUACCAAGGUUUAAUGUUGUUACUGGUACAACAAAGGGCUUGUUUUUAUAGAUAUGCUUUAAACUAUGAGCAUAUUUUCGUCCA